This 389-nucleotide ribosomal RNA is filed under the name uncultured bacterium. RNAcentral describes it as "bacterial SSU rRNA". It matches the Rfam family "Bacterial small subunit ribosomal RNA", at positions 28 to 418 of the family's 1533-position model. The record is from RNAcentral.
GAUGAACGCUAGCGGCAGGCCUAAUACAUGCAAGUCGAACGGUAAGGCCCUUUCGGGGGUACACGAGUGGCGGACGGGUGCGUAACGCGUAUGCAACAUGCCUUCCAGCGGGGGAUAUACCAGGGAAACUUGGCGCAAUACCCCAUAGAAUUACGGGACCGCAUGGUCUUGUGAUUAAAACUCCGGUGCUGGGAGAUUGGCAUGCGUGACAUUAGCUAGUUGGCGGGGUAACGGCCCACCAAGGCGACGAUGUCUAGCUGGUCUGAGAGGAUGAUCAGCCACACUGGGACUGAGACACGGCCCAGACUCCUACGGGAGGCAGCAGUGGGGAAUUUUGGACAAUGGGCGCAAGCCUGAUCCAGCCAUGCCGCGUGCGGGACGAAGGCCUC